This 465-nucleotide ribosomal RNA is filed under the name uncultured Klebsiella sp. RNAcentral's name for it is "bacterial SSU rRNA". It matches the Rfam family "Bacterial small subunit ribosomal RNA", at positions 338 to 795 of the family's 1533-position model. The record is from RNAcentral. Lineage: Bacteria; Pseudomonadati; Pseudomonadota; Gammaproteobacteria; Enterobacterales; Enterobacteriaceae.
CCUACGGGCGGCAGCAGUGGGGAAUAUUGCACAAUGGGCGCAAGCCUGAUGCAGCCAUGCCGCGUGUGUGAAGAAGGCCUUCGGGUUGCAAAGCACUUUCAGCGGGGAGGAAGGCGGUGAGGUUAAUAACCUCAUCGAUUGACGUUACCCGCAGAAGAAGCACCGGCUAACUCCGUGCCAGCAGCCGCGGUAAUACGGAGGGUGCAAGCGUUAAUCGGAAUUACUGGGCGUAAAGCGCACGCAGGCGGUCUGUCAAGUCGGAUGUGAAAUCCCCGGGCUCAACCUGGGAACUGCAUUCGAAACUGGCAGGCUAGAGUCUUGUAGAGGGGGGUAGAAUUCCAGGUGUAGCGGUGAAAUGCGUAGAGAUCUGGAGGAAUACCGGUGGCGAAGGCGGCCCCCUGGACAAAGACUGACGCUCAGGUGCGAAAGCGUGGGGAGCAAACAGGAUUAGAUACCCGGGUGGUC